CAAGGCUGAGGCGUGAUGACGAGGCACUACGGUGCUGAAGCAACAAAUGCCCUGCUUCCAGGAAAAGCCUCUAAGCAUCAGGUAACAUCAAAUCGUACCCCAAACCGACACAGGUGGUCAGGUAGAGAAUACCAAGGCGCUUGAGAGAACUCGGGUGAAGGAACUAGGCAAAAUGGUGCCGUAACUUCGGGAGAAGGCACGCUGAUAUGUAGGUGAAGUCCCUCGCGGAUGGAGCUGAAAUCAGUCGAAGAUACCAGCUGGCUGCAACUGUUUAUUAAAAACACAGCACUGUGCAAACACGAAAGUGGACGUAUACGGUGUGACGCCUGCCCGGUGCCGGAAGGUUAAUUGAUGGGGUUAGCGGUAACGCGAAGCUCUUGAUCGAAGCCCCGGUAAACGGCGGCCGUAACUAUAACGGUCCUAAGGUAGCGAAAUUCCUUGUCGGGUAAGUUCCGACCUGCACGAAUGGCGUAAUGAUGGCCAGGCUGUCUCCACCCGAGACUCAGUGAAAUUGAACUCGCUGUGAAGAUGCAGUGUACCCGCGGCAAGACGGAAAGACCCCGUGAACCUUUACUAUAGCUUGACACUGAACAUUGAGCCUUGAUGUGUAGGAUAGGUGGGAGGCUUUGAAGUGUGGACGCCAGUCUGCAUGGAGCCGGCCUUGAAAUACCACCCUUUAAUGUUUGAUGUUCUAACGUUGGCCCCUGACCGGGGUUGCGGACAGUGUCUGGUGGGUAGUUUGACUGGGGCGGUCUCCUCCUAAAGAGUAACGGAGGAGCACGAAGGUUGGCUAAUCCUGGUCGGACAUCAGGAGGUUAGUGCAAUGGCAUAAGCCAGCUUGACUGCGAGCGUGACGGCGCGAGCAGGUGCGAAAGCAGGUCAUAGUGAUCCGGUGGUUCUGAAUGGAAGGGCCAUCGCUCAACGGAUAAAAGGUACUCCGGGGAUAACAGGCUGAUACCGCCCAAGAGUUCAUAUCGACGGCGGUGUUUGGCACCUCGAUGUCGGCUCAUCACAUCCUGGGGCUGAAGUAGGUCCCAAGGGUAUGGCUGUUCGCCAUUUAAAGUGGUACGCGAGCUGGGUUUAGAACGUCGUGAGACAGUUCGGUCCCUAUCUGCCGUGGGCGCUGGAGAACUGAGGGGGGCUGCUCCUAGUACGAGAGGACCGGAGUGGACGCAUCACUGGUGUUCGGGUUGUCAUGCCAAUGGCACUGCCCGGUAGCUAAAUGCGGAAGAGAUAAGUGCUGAAAGCAUCUAAGCACGAAACUUGCCCCGAGAUGAGUUCUCCCUGACUCCUUGAGGGUCCUGAAGGAACGUUGAAGACGACGACGUUGAUAGGCCGGGUGUGUAAGCGCAGCGAUGCGUUGAGCUAACUGGUACUAAUGAACCGUGAGGCUUAACCUU
Molecule: ribosomal RNA, 1400 nt
Filed under: Escherichia coli
Lineage: Bacteria; Pseudomonadati; Pseudomonadota; Gammaproteobacteria; Enterobacterales; Enterobacteriaceae
Description: partial 23S ribosomal RNA
Rfam family: Bacterial large subunit ribosomal RNA
Source: RNAcentral